RNAcentral lists this non-coding RNA (97 nucleotides) under Nannocystis exedens. Lineage: Bacteria; Pseudomonadati; Myxococcota; Nannocystales; Nannocystaceae. The record is from RNAcentral.
GUAAGCCGUGUGCGGGAGAUCCGCACGCACGGUUUGAACGGGGGUCUUACCCAACUCUUCCGCGACAUGCGGAAAGGAAAGUAGGAUCUACCCAUGC